RNAcentral lists this long non-coding RNA (1011 nucleotides) under Salmo salar (Atlantic salmon). RNAcentral's name for it is "lncRNA (ENSSSAG00000106499.1)". The record is from RNAcentral. Lineage: Eukaryota; Metazoa; Chordata; Actinopteri; Salmoniformes; Salmonidae.
UCUGUCUGUGUGUGUGUGUGUCCCUCUGUCUGUGUGUGUGUGUGUCCCUCUGUCUGUGUGUGUGUGUGUGUCCCUCUGUCUGUGUGUGUGUGUGUCCCUCUGUCUGUGUGUGUGUGUGUCCCUCUGUCUGUGUGUGUGUGUGUCACUCUGUCUGUGUGUGUGUGUGUCCCUCUGUCUGUGUGUGUGUGUGUGUCCCUCUGUCUGUGUGUGUGUGUGUCCCUCUGCUCUGUGUGUGUGUGUGUCCCUCUGUCUGUGUGUGUGUGUGUCCCUCUGUCUGUGUGUGUGUGUGUCCCUCUGCUCUGUGUGUGUGUGUGUCCCUCUGUCUCUGUGUGUGUGUGUGUCCCUCUGUCUGUGUGUGUGUGUGUCCCUCUGUCUGUGUGUGUGUGUGUCCCUCUGUCUGUGUGUGUGUGUCCCUCUGUCUGUGUGUGUGUGUGUCCCUCUGUCUGUGUGUGUGUGUCCCUCUGUCUGUGUGUGUGUGUGUCCCUCUGUCUGUGUGUGUGUGUCCCUCUGUCUGUGUGUGUGUGUGUCCCUCUGUCUGUGUGUGUGUGUGUGUGUCCCUCUGUCUGUGUGUGUGUGUGUGUCCCUCUGUGUCUGUGUGUGUGUGUGUCCCUCUGUGUCUGUGUGUGUGUGUGUCCCUCUGUCUGUGUGUGUGUGUGUGUCCCUCUGUGUCUGUGUGUGUGUGUGUGUUUCUUCUGUAGGAUGUGCAACAGUUGUAUAGUACAUCUCUUGUGAUUGGAUGCUCACGUGUUCGCUGUCUAUCUAAAUACUACUGCCUCCCUUCAAGGUGUGAUUGGUACUUGUAGUUCUCCCUGGUAGUAUGUGGAGGGAGAAUUGUGUGGUUUGUACUUGUAGUAUGUGGAGGGAGAGGUGUGUGUAGUCUUGUUACCGUGUGCUUCCUGAUCCUCUUCCAUCUCAUAUGAAUAAUGCAGUAGUAUAACAGGAGGCUGCUGGCUGGCUCACUGUGCCCAGCCUGAGGCCCAAUGGCACCCUAGUUCCUAUAUAGGGCGGCAG